Molecule: long non-coding RNA, 401 nt
Organism: Alligator mississippiensis (American alligator)
Lineage: Eukaryota; Metazoa; Chordata; Crocodylia; Alligatoridae
Exons: 3
Source: RefSeq, a predicted model, not a curated record
GGGUCGUCCUCGGCUGCGAGGGGUUGCCCACGGCGCUACGACUUGUUGUGAAGCAUUUACAGCUGCUCCACUUAUGCAUAUUUUCAAACAGGCAGGAUCUUUUGAAAACGAUACCUAAUGUUAUAUUAUUAAAAUGGCUAUCCAUACAAGGCAGAGAGUGUAAAAAUGAAAAUGCUGACAGGUUCAAGCAGGACAGUUUCAGGAAAGUAUGACUUGAGAGAGGCAGCCAGACAGACAAUCCAAAUGCUUCAGUUGGCAGGAUGAAGUGAUAUGCUAAUGUAAGAGAAAAGGUGGGUGUACAAUGGCAAGGAAAUAAAUACCCGUUAAAGGGAUGGGAGGUCUAGGACAGUGGUUCUCAACUUUUUUUGUACCAGGACCUAUUUAUGAAGAUCAGUGGCCAG